Molecule: ribosomal RNA, 200 nt
Filed under: uncultured bacterium
Lineage: Bacteria
Description: partial 16S ribosomal RNA
Rfam family: Bacterial small subunit ribosomal RNA
Source: RNAcentral
UACGAAGGUCCCAAGCGUUGUUCGGAAUAACUGGGCGUAAAGCGUGUGUAGGCUGCGCGGAAAGUCAAAUGUGAAAGCCCAGGGCUUAACCCUGGAACUGCAUUCGAUACUCCCGUGCUAGAGUAAUGGAGAGGUAAGUGGAAUUCCUGGUGUAGCAGUGAAAUGCGUAGAUAUCAGGAGGAACAUCAAUGGCGAAGGCA